GAGCCAGCUUAGCCAAGCGGUUACUUUGGAAUAAUCUUUGCAGAUUCACCAAUUGCCUAACGAUAGUUUGAUAGCCCACAGGUGCUGUCUGGCUUUCUU
Molecule: vault RNA, 99 nt
Filed under: Podarcis muralis (Common wall lizard)
Lineage: Eukaryota; Metazoa; Chordata; Lepidosauria; Squamata; Lacertidae
Description: Vault RNA (ENSPMRG00000014228.1)
Rfam family: Vault RNA
About the family: This family of RNAs are found as part of the enigmatic vault ribonucleoprotein complex.
Source: Rfam by way of RNAcentral